Molecule: small nuclear RNA, 344 nt
Filed under: Erinaceus europaeus (western European hedgehog)
Lineage: Eukaryota; Metazoa; Chordata; Mammalia; Eulipotyphla; Erinaceidae
Description: 7SK RNA
Rfam family: 7SK RNA
About the family: 7SK was discovered as an abundant small nuclear RNA in the mid-70s but a possible function has only recently been suggested. Two independent studies have found that 7SK RNA binds the CDK9/cyclin T complex (known as elongation factor P-TEFb).
Source: Rfam by way of RNAcentral
GGUCGUGAUUGGCAGAUCUGGCUGCGACAUUUGUCACCCCAUUGAUUGCCAGGGUUGAUUCAGCUGAUCUGGCUGGCUAGGUGGGUGUCCACUUCCUCCCUCACCGCUCCAUGUGCGUCCCUCCUGAAGCUGCACGCUGGGUCGAAGAGGACUGCCUUCCCCGAACAGAGACUGACCGGUCUUUGGUCGAGGGUAUACGAGUAGCUGCGCUCCCCUGCUAGAACCUCCAAACAAGCUUUCUUAUUCUUUAACCCUCUGGGAGUAUGGACCCAGGGUCAUUGUGGGAUACAGAAAGUAGAAGGUCUGGCUUCUGUAAUUGCUUCUUCGCUAAACAUGGGCGAUGA